GAUGAAGAACGCAGCGAAAUGCGAUAAGUAAUGUGAAUUGCAGAAUUCGGUGAAUCAUCGAAUCUUUGAACGCACAUUGCGCCCUCUGGUAUUCCGGGGGGCAUGCCUGUUCGAGCGUCAUUAUAACCACUCAAGCUCUCGCUUGGUAUUGGGGUUCGCGGUUUCGCGGCCCCUAAAAUCAGUGGCGGUGCCUGUCGGCUCUACGCGUAGUAAUACUUCUCGCGAUUGAGUUCGAUAGGUCUACUUGCCAGUAACCCCCAAUUUUUACAGGUUGACCUCGGAUCAGGUAGGGAUACCCGCUGAACUUAAGCAUAUCAAUAAGCGGAGGA
This 329-nucleotide unclassified non-coding RNA is filed under the name soil metagenome. Its description in RNAcentral is "partial contains 5.8S ribosomal RNA, internal transcribed spacer 2, and large subunit ribosomal RNA". The stretch from base 1 to 120 matches the Rfam family "5.8S ribosomal RNA", at positions 35 to 154 of the family's 154-position model. The record is from RNAcentral.